Molecule: long non-coding RNA, 680 nt
Organism: Spinacia oleracea (spinach)
Lineage: Eukaryota; Viridiplantae; Streptophyta; Magnoliopsida; Caryophyllales; Amaranthaceae
Exons: 4
Source: RefSeq, a predicted model, not a curated record
ACUUCCAGCAGUAUUCUGCAGCAGACCCACCUUGGGAAAUGACCAAAUUGACCCCCCUAAGAAUGAGAAAUUACAAAACUACCUACACCCACCCUUCCUAUAAAUACAGAGCAACCUCUCAUAGUUUUCUCCACCCCAGAAAAGUCCAGAAACCCUCUGCCCAGAGCUCUUCCCUCCUCUCCUUCUGUCUCGCCAGUUCUGGCGUGUUCCAGAUUGGGUAAGCAAUCGUUUGUGGAAAAACCAAGGGAAACCAAGCCAACCGAAGCCAAACCCACCAGCUAAGGGAAAGUGUUAGUGAAGGAAUCUCUGAUUUGUGAGCCAUAGUUGAGGAGAUAUCACCCCACAAUUAAGAGUCCUUUUUAGUAAUUUUGCAGGUAUUGUGUAAGCUCGGAUGUGGAUUACAGAUGUGAUUGAGGAAGGAAUAAUUUUGCUGAAAUGUUUUGAGGCCAUCAAAGAUUAUGAUAGGUUAAGAUCUCUUGUGUAUUUAUAUUUGAUUAUAAGGGAUAAUUCAGGUUUUAUUUUGUAAAUUGGAUUCUAAGUGUAAUUAGUGAGAAAUAAGUAAUUCUAAAUAAGCAGCUCAAAAGUGUGGGCUGUUACAGGUGGUAUCAGAGCCAAGGUUGAUUUUGGGUUUGCUAUGAUCUUCAUAUCAUAGUAUAUGAGUUGAAAAUGGGUUAUUGAUU